This 73-nucleotide transfer RNA is filed under the name Orbicella faveolata. RNAcentral describes it as "tRNA-Val". It matches the Rfam family "tRNA". Rfam says of the family: Transfer RNA (tRNA) molecules are approximately 80 nucleotides in length. Their secondary structure includes four short double-helical elements and three loops (D, anti-codon, and T loops). Further hydrogen bonds mediate the characteristic L-shaped molecular structure. tRNAs have two regions of fundamental functional importance: the anti-codon, which is responsible for specific mRNA codon recognition, and the 3' end, to which the tRNAs corresponding amino acid is attached (by aminoacyl-tRNA synthetases). tRNAs cope with the degeneracy of the genetic code in two manners: having more than one tRNA (with a specific anti-codon) for a particular amino acid; and 'wobble' base-pairing, i.e. permitting non-standard base-pairing at the 3rd anti-codon position. Lineage: Eukaryota; Metazoa; Cnidaria; Anthozoa; Scleractinia; Merulinidae. The record is from RNAcentral.
GUUUCCGUAGUGUAGUGGUUAUCACGUCCGCGUAACACGCGGAAGGUCGCCGGUUCGAGCCUGGCCGGAAACA